GAUGAACGCUGGCGGCGUGCCUAAUACAUGCAAGUCGAGCGAACGGACGAGAAGCUUGCUUCUCUGAUGUUAGCGGCGGACGGGUGAGUAACACGUGGAUAACCUACCUAUAAGACUGGGAUAACUUCGGGAAACCGGAGCUAAUACCGGAUAAUAUUUUGAACCGCAUGGUUCAAAAGUGGAAGACGGUCUUGCUGUCACUUAUAGAUGGAUCCGCGCUGCAUUAGCUAGUUGGUAAGGUAACGGCUUACCAAGGCAACGAUGCAUAGCCGACCUGAGAGGGUGAUCGGCCACACUGGAACUGAGACACGGUACAGACUCCUACGGGAGGCAGCAGUAGGGAAUCUUCCGCAAUGGGCGAAGGCCUGACGGAGCAACGCCGCGUGAGUGAUGAAGGUCUUCGGAUCGUAAAACUCUGUUAUUAGGGAAGAACAUAUGUGUAAGUAACUGUGCACAUCUUGACGGUACCUAAUCAGAAAGCCACGGCUAACUACGUG
Molecule: ribosomal RNA, 497 nt
Filed under: uncultured bacterium
Lineage: Bacteria
Description: partial 16S ribosomal RNA
Rfam family: Bacterial small subunit ribosomal RNA
Source: RNAcentral